CGGGAGUUCGUAGCGGGAUCGCGAAUCAUUUGAGUCAGCGGGAUCGCGAAUCAUUUGAGUCAGUUCGCGGGAGUUCGUAGCGGGAUCGCGAAUCAUUUGAGUCAGUUCGCGGGAGUUCAUAGCGGGAUCGCGAAUCAUUUGAGUCAGUUCGCGGGAGUUCGUAGCGGGAUCGCGAAUCAUUUGAGUCAGUUUGGGAGUUCGGAGCGGGUUAGCGAAUCAUUUGAAUCAGUUCGAGAGUUCGUAGCGGGUAUCACGAAUCAUUUGAGUCAGUUUGGGAGUUCGGAGCCUGAAUCAUUUUUUCUAAGAGUGUGGUGAACCGAGCAGUUCGGAUUUUUGACCGUCAGGCCACCGGGAAAUGUCCCGGUGCUCCCAAUGGCCAGUCCGCCCCUAGCGAUGUGACUCCUCCGUUACCGAAGCAAGCGGCGAUUUCACGAGCACUCGCUCCGAUCAAACACAGCAGACCACAGAGCUGAAUCUGUCAAAAACAGCUACUCACUGUCAACACUUCUCUAAGUGUGAGUUAUUAGCCUUAAAAUCACACAAUUGUAAAAUGUAAAACAUGAAAAAAAUAAAAAUAAACUCACUAAAAACAUAAAAUGUAAAACGAAUAAAGGCAAUUAAAAAUAAAACUCAUAGAUCAAAUUAAAUAAUAAUUCUAUAAAUAAAAUCACAAUCGUUUGCAAAAAAAAAACAAACAAAAAAAAACAAUCGUAAUAAAACUGAUGUUUUUAUGUCAUGAUUUGUUGUUUUCAAAUUAUAACCAUUUUAAUAGUUAUUUUAACAUUUUAAAAGAAACUAAAUAAAACCUUUACUAAAUGUGAAUUAUAUAGCCUACAGACUUUUACAAAUCAUUUAAGUUAAAAACAACAACAAAAGGAAACAAAAACAAAACACCAAACAUUAAUGAAAUCAUAAAGUAAACAUAAAAAAAUUAUUAAAAGUAUCAAAUGAAAAAUCUAUAAAUUAAACCAUGAAUAUAAAAUAAAGCUUAUUUUUUUUUGCAUUUUAAAUCUUAAUGCAAAUAAAAUAUUAGUAAUUAAAUGAUAAAAAUACACAACUAAAAUUCAUAGUAUUAAAAAAAAAAAAUACUAUAUAUUAUAAUCAAAUCAUAAAAAAAUGAAAAUUCAAAUAAAAGAUUAAUUUAAAAAAACUUAAUAAAACACAUAAAAAUUUACACAUCUAAAACUAAAAUAAAUUAUAUAAAAAAAUAAAACACUUAUGACAAAUUCAUUAAAUCAUAAAAAUUCACAAUUAAAAUAAAUAAAUGAUUAAAAUAAAUUCAAAACCCCCAAAAAUGUAAAUCAUAAAAAAGCAAUGAAAUGCUUAUAAGGAAAAUAAAAAAUAAAUAAAACACUUACUGAAAAAAAAAAAAAAUGAGAUUAAAAUACAUAAUUUA
This 1396-nucleotide long non-coding RNA is filed under the name Carassius auratus (goldfish). RNAcentral describes it as "lncRNA (ENSCARG00000007185.1)". Lineage: Eukaryota; Metazoa; Chordata; Actinopteri; Cypriniformes; Cyprinidae. The record is from RNAcentral.